GAGGGUCAUAUGAUGUACAGAAGCAUAGUUCAAAUGAUAUUUCAGUGAUUAUACUAUUUUACGUCUUUCGCUCCUAUCUGAUGAUCUCU
This is a small nucleolar RNA of Neltuma alba, 89 nucleotides long. RefSeq annotates it as small nucleolar RNA snR60/Z15/Z230/Z193/J17. NCBI's taxonomy places the organism in Eukaryota, Viridiplantae, Streptophyta, Magnoliopsida, Fabales, Fabaceae. The record is from RefSeq and is a predicted model, not a curated record. The transcript has a single exon.